GACAGAGGAUGCAAGCGUUAUCCGGAAUGAUUGGGCGUAAAGCGUCUGUAGGUGGCUUGUCGCGUCGGCUGUGAAAACCUGGGGCUCAACCCCGGGCCUGCAGCCGAUACGGGCAAGCUAGAAUCGGUAGGGAGGACUGGAAUUCCUGGUGGUAGCGGUGGAAUGCGCAGAUAUCAGGAGGAACACCAAUGGCGAAGGCAGAUCUCUGGGCCGUAACUGACGCUGAGGAGCGAAAGCAUGGGGAGCGAACAGG
This 253-nucleotide ribosomal RNA is filed under the name uncultured bacterium. Its description in RNAcentral is "partial 16S ribosomal RNA". It matches the Rfam family "Bacterial small subunit ribosomal RNA", at positions 524 to 776 of the family's 1533-position model. The record is from RNAcentral.